Molecule: ribosomal RNA, 492 nt
Filed under: uncultured bacterium
Lineage: Bacteria
Description: partial 16S ribosomal RNA
Rfam family: Bacterial small subunit ribosomal RNA
Source: RNAcentral
AUUGAACGCUGGCGGCAUGCUUUACACAUGCAAGUCGAACGGUAACAGGCCUUCGGGUGCUGACGAGUGGCGAACGGGUGAGUAAUGCAUCGGAACGUGCCCAGAGGUGGGGGAUAACGCAGCGAAAGCUGUGCUAAUACCGCAUGUGAUCUGAGGAUGAAAGCGGGGGACCAAGCAGCAAUGUUUGGCCUCGCGCCUCUAGAGCGGCCGAUGUCAGAUUAGGUAGUUGGUGGGGUAAAGGCCUACCAAGCCGACGAUCUGUAGCUGGUCUGAGAGGACGACCAGCCACACUGGGACUGAGACACGGCCCAGACUCCUACGGGAGGCAGCAGUGGGGAAUUUUGGACAAUGGGCGCAAGCCUGAUCCAGCAAUGCCGCGUGCGGGAAGAAGGCCUUCGGGUUGUAAACCGCUUUUGUACGGAACGAAAAGGCUCUGGCUAAUACCUGGGGCUGAUGACGGUACCAUAAGAAUAAGCACCGGCUAACUACGUG